AAAGAGUUGUGAAACUUUUUAUCUCGUAUGGAGUUAUAACGUGAAAUAAUGACACAGACUGGCUCAUCAUCUCAUCUGCAGCAGAGACUGUUGUAUCAGAAGGACAGCGCGUUUGUUUGAGGCACUUUUCACUUCAACUGUGUCUGACAGGAGAAUUUAGCUUUCUGAGCCGUUGAGUUACCAUGGCAACCGCGUACACAUCAGCUGCUAGAGAGGAGAGGAGAGGUCUCGUCUGACAUUUUCUCUGUUUCUCGUCAGUUAUACCAAAGAAAAGGUCAACAACUGCGACAGAUUUUGAUUUCAGGAGUGUCUUAAAAACCCUCUAAAACAGAGGGGAAGUUCCAAAAAAGUGUCUAAUGGGAGAUGCUGACAGAGAUAGAAAACACAGGUGAUCCGAGAAAGCUUAUUAAAUAACUUAAUAUUUAUUUUUUACAAUAUAUCAUCAUGCAUCUCUAAAAUCUAAACAUGUGAAUUCCGGUAUCUUAAGAUAUUUUUGUAUGUUUUCCAUAUUACUGUUUUUCUUUUCUGCAUUUCCCCUAUUCUCUAGUUUGUUUAUUUCUAAUAAGGAGCUGGAGGCCGUGAAGAAACAGAUCCAUGAUAUCGUGGAGAAGCAGGCCCAGAUGAGCAAGUGGAGAGCUAUGCUGGAAAUAUUCAUGGGUUGAUGCUCAUAAGUCCAGGUGUAAGACAUGAACCAGGCCCUGGGCGACGACCUCUCUCCAUCCGCCGCCUCCGGUCUUCAGGAUCUCCACCAGAACCCGAUUCGCUCCACUUCGUGAGACAGAACACAACGUUGUGAUCAUCGGAGACUCCAUCGUCUGGCACGUUCGUGCUAUAUUAG
Carassius gibelio (silver crucian carp) is the source of this 838-nucleotide long non-coding RNA. RefSeq lists it as uncharacterized. The record is from RefSeq and is a predicted model, not a curated record. The transcript is spliced from 4 exons. NCBI's taxonomy places the organism in Eukaryota, Metazoa, Chordata, Actinopteri, Cypriniformes, Cyprinidae.